CAGUAGCCGCGGGAAUACGGAGGGGGCUAGCGUUGUUCGGAAUUACUGGGCGUAAAGCGCACGUAGGCGGCUUGGUAAGUUAGAGGUGAAAGCCUGGAGCUCAACUCCAGAAUUGCCUUUAAGACUGCCGAGCUAGCAGGUGAGAGAGGUAAGUGGAAUUCCGAGUGUAGAGGUGAAAUACGUAGAUAUUCGGAAGAACACCAGUGGCGAAGGCGGCUUACUGGCUCAUACUGGACGCUGAGGUGCGAAAGCGUGGGGAGCAAACAGGAUUAGAUACCCGGGUAGUCCCUGUCUCUUAUAA
RNAcentral lists this ribosomal RNA (301 nucleotides) under uncultured bacterium. RNAcentral's name for it is "partial 16S ribosomal RNA". It matches the Rfam family "Bacterial small subunit ribosomal RNA", at positions 509 to 809 of the family's 1533-position model. The record is from RNAcentral.